UACAGAGGUCCCAAGCGUUGUUCGGAUUCACUGGGCGUAAAGGGUGCGUAGGCGGUCGGGUAAGUCUGACGUGAAAUCUCCGGGCCUAACCCGGAAACUGCGUUGGAAACUGCCUGGCUAGAGGAAUGGAGGGGAGACUGGAAUACUUGGCGUAGCAGUGAAAUGCGUAGAUAUCAAGUGGAACACCAGUGGCGAAGGCGAGUCUCUGGACAUUUCCUGACGCUGAGGCACGAAAGCCAGGGGAGCAAACGGG
RNAcentral lists this ribosomal RNA (253 nucleotides) under uncultured bacterium. RNAcentral's name for it is "partial 16S ribosomal RNA". It matches the Rfam family "Bacterial small subunit ribosomal RNA", at positions 524 to 776 of the family's 1533-position model. The record is from RNAcentral.